CCUACGGGUGGCAGCAGUGAGGAAUAUUGGUCAAUGGGCGCUAGCCUGAACCAGCCAAGUAGCGUGAAGGAUGACUGCCCUAUGGGUUGUAAACUUCUUUUAUAUGGGAAUAAAGUGCAGUAUGUAUACUGCUUUGCAUGUACCUUAUGAAUAAGGAUCGGCUAACUCCGUGCCAGCAGCCGCGGUAAUACGGAGGAUCCGAGCGUUGUCCGGAUUUACUGGGUGUAAAGGGCGUGCAGCCGGGAAGACAAGUCAGAUGUGAAAUCCCGCGGCUCAACCGCGGAACUGCAUUUGAAACUGUUUUUCUUGAGUACCGGAGAGGUCAUCGGAAUUCCUUGUGUAGCGGUGAAAUGCGUAGAUAUAAGGAAGAACACCAGUGGCGAAGGCGGAUGACUGGACGGCAACUGACGGUGAGGCGCGAAAGCGUGGGGAGCAAACAGGAUUAGAUACCCGGGUAGUC
RNAcentral lists this ribosomal RNA (460 nucleotides) under uncultured bacterium. RNAcentral's name for it is "partial 16S ribosomal RNA". It matches the Rfam family "Bacterial small subunit ribosomal RNA", at positions 338 to 795 of the family's 1533-position model. The record is from RNAcentral.